RNAcentral lists this ribosomal RNA (271 nucleotides) under uncultured archaeon. RNAcentral describes it as "partial 16S ribosomal RNA". It matches the Rfam family "Archaeal small subunit ribosomal RNA", at positions 477 to 747 of the family's 1478-position model. The record is from RNAcentral.
CAGCGUCACGAGUGGCAAUCAGAUUUAUUGGGUCUAAAGCGUCCGUAGCCGGUUUGAUAAGUCUUUUGUGAAAUUGUCGUGCUUAACAUGACAACGUGCAAGAGAUACUGUCAGACUUGGAACUGGGAGGAGUUAGGGGUAUUCCUUGGGGAGCGGUAAAAUGCUAUAAUCCUCGGAGGACCACCUGUGGCGAAAGCGCCUAACUAGAACAGCUUCGACGGUGAGGGACGAAAGCCAGGGGAGCAAACCGGAUUAGAUACCCGAGUAGUCC